Molecule: long non-coding RNA, 281 nt
Filed under: Elaeis guineensis (African oil palm)
Lineage: Eukaryota; Viridiplantae; Streptophyta; Magnoliopsida; Arecales; Arecaceae
Description: long non-coding RNA (EGUI_LNC000310)
Source: RNAcentral
GGGCUAGUGGACUGAGUUUUCUAUAUGGGUCGGAUAAGGUUGCUUAAGCUUAGGUUGACCAUGGUUUAGGCUUGGGUUGGCUACGGCUUGGGCUAGGUUGGCUACAAGUUGGGCUUGAGUUUCUAGGCUUCGGGGUGGCUUGGACCGGCUGUAGCUAGGCUUGGUUGGCUAUGGGUUGAAUCGGUUCCCUCACUUUUCGCACCGCGCCGUCCCUUCCCUCCGUUGCCCGCUUCCUCCACACCCUCGCCUUCAAAAACCCGUUAUAGCCCUCAUCUACAGCC